RNAcentral lists this ribosomal RNA (305 nucleotides) under uncultured bacterium. RNAcentral's name for it is "bacterial SSU rRNA". It matches the Rfam family "Bacterial small subunit ribosomal RNA", at positions 333 to 635 of the family's 1533-position model. The record is from RNAcentral.
AGUGUCCUACGGGGGGCAGCAGUGAGGAAUAUUGGUCAAUGGGCGGAAGCCUGAACCAGCCAAGUCGCGUGAGGGAAUAAGGCCCUACGGGUCGUAAACCUCUUUUGCCGGGGAGCAAGGGCCGGGACGCGUCCCGGCCCGGAGAGUACCCGGAGAAAAAGCAUCGGCUAACUCCGUGCCAGCAGCCGCGGUAAUACGGAGGAUGCGAGCGUUAUCCGGAAUUAUUGGGCGUAAAGAGGGAGCAGGCGGCAGCAAAGGUCUGUGGUGAAAGACUGAAGCUUAACUUCAGUAAGCCAUAGAAACCA